Molecule: ribosomal RNA, 602 nt
Filed under: uncultured marine bacterium
Lineage: Bacteria
Description: bacterial SSU rRNA
Rfam family: Bacterial small subunit ribosomal RNA
Source: RNAcentral
AGUCGAGCGAAGCUUUUCAGUAGUUUACUACAGAAAAUGACUGAGCGGCGAACGGGUGAGUAACGCGUGAGCAACCUACCUUAGUUACUGGGAUAGCCCGAGGAAACUCGGAUUAAUACCGGAUAUUCUUAUUUAAUCACAUGAUUUUUUAAGGAAAGGUCAGCCGAACUAAGAUGGGCUCGCGUUCUAUCAGCUAGUUGGUAGGGUAAUGGCCUACCAAGGCUACGACGGAUAGCUGGUCUGAGAGGACGAUCAGCCACACUGGGACUGAGACACGGCCCAGACUCCUACGGGAGGCUGCAGCAGGGAAUAUUGCGCAAUGAGCGAAAGCUUGACGCAGCGACACCGCGUGUGGGAUGACGGAUCUAGGUUUGUAAACCACUUUCAGGAGGGAAGAAAAUGACGGUACCUCCACAAGAAGCCCCGGCCAACUACGUGCCAGCAGCCGCGGUAAUACGUAGGGGGCGAGCGUUGUCCGGAUUUAUUGGGCGUAAAGAGCUCGUAGGCGGUUCAACAAGUCGGUCGUGAAAGUUCAGGGCUCAACCCUGAAAUGUCGAUCGAUACUGUUGUGACUAGGAUACGGUAGAGGUGAGUGGAAUUCC